This 2929-nucleotide ribosomal RNA is filed under the name Escherichia coli. RNAcentral's name for it is "bacterial LSU rRNA". It matches the Rfam family "Bacterial large subunit ribosomal RNA". The record is from RNAcentral. Lineage: Bacteria; Pseudomonadati; Pseudomonadota; Gammaproteobacteria; Enterobacterales; Enterobacteriaceae.
GGGUUGUGAGGUUAAGCGACUAAGCGUACACGGUGGAUGCCCUGGCAGUCAGAGGCGAUGAAGGACGUGCUAAUCUGCGAUAAGCGUCGGUAAGGUGAUAUGAACCGUUAUAACCGGCGAUUUCCGAAUGGGGAAACCCAGUGUGUUUCGACACACUAUCAUUAACUGAAUCCAUAGGUUAAUGAGGCGAACCGGGGGAACUGAAACAUCUAAGUACCCCGAGGAAAAGAAAUCAACCGAGAUUCCCCCAGUAGCGGCGAGCGAACGGGGAGCAGCCCAGAGCCUGAAUCAGUGUGUGUGUUAGUGGAAGCGUCUGGAAAGGCGUGCGAUACAGGGUGACAGCCCCGUACACAAAAAUGCACAUGCUGUGAGCUCGAUGAGUAGGGCGGGACACGUGGUAUCCUGUCUGAAUAUGGGGGGACCAUCCUCCAAGGCUAAAUACUCCUGACUGACCGAUAGUGAACCAGUACCGUGAGGGAAAGGCGAAAAGAACCCCGGCGAGGGGAGUGAAAAAGAACCUGAAACCGUGUACGUACAAGCAGUGGGAGCACGCUUAGGCGUGUGACUGCGUACCUUUUGUAUAAUGGGUCAGCGACUUAUAUUCUGUAGCAAGGUUAACCGAAUAGGGGAGCCGAAGGGAAACCGAGUCUUAACUGGGCGUUAAGUUGCAGGGUAUAGACCCGAAACCCGGUGAUCUAGCCAUGGGCAGGUUGAAGGUUGGGUAACACUAACUGGAGGACCGAACCGACUAAUGUUGAAAAAUUAGCGGAUGACUUGUGGCUGGGGGUGAAAGGCCAAUCAAACCGGGAGAUAGCUGGUUCUCCCCGAAAGCUAUUUAGGUAGCGCCUCGUGAAUUCAUCUCCGGGGGUAGAGCACUGUUUCGGCAAGGGGGUCAUCCCGACUUACCAACCCGAUGCAAACUGCGAAUACCGGAGAAUGUUAUCACGGGAGACACACGGCGGGUGCUAACGUCCGUCGUGAAGAGGGAAACAACCCAGACCGCCAGCUAAGGUCCCAAAGUCAUGGUUAAGUGGGAAACGAUGUGGGAAGGCCCAGACAGCCAGGAUGUUGGCUUAGAAGCAGCCAUCAUUUAAAGAAAGCGUAAUAGCUCACUGGUCGAGUCGGCCUGCGCGGAAGAUGUAACGGGCUAAACCAUGCACCGAAGCUGCGGCAGCGACGCUUAUGCGUUGUUGGGUAGGGGAGCGUUCUGUAAGCCUGCGAAGGUGUGCUGUGAGGCAUGCUGGAGGUAUCAGAAGUGCGAAUGCUGACAUAAGUAACGAUAAAGCGGGUGAAAAGCCCGCUCGCCGGAAGACCAAGGGUUCCUGUCCAACGUUAAUCGGGGCAGGGUGAGUCGACCCCUAAGGCGAGGCCGAAAGGCGUAGUCGAUGGGAAACAGGUUAAUAUUCCUGUACUUGGUGUUACUGCGAAGGGGGGACGGAGAAGGCUAUGUUGGCCGGGCGACGGUUGUCCCGGUUUAAGCGUGUAGGCUGGUUUUCCAGGCAAAUCCGGAAAAUCAAGGCUGAGGCGUGAUGACGAGGCACUACGGUGCUGAAGCAACAAAUGCCCUGCUUCCAGGAAAAGCCUCUAAGCAUCAGGUAACAUCAAAUCGUACCCCAAACCGACACAGGUGGUCAGGUAGAGAAUACCAAGGCGCUUGAGAGAACUCGGGUGAAGGAACUAGGCAAAAUGGUGCCGUAACUUCGGGAGAAGGCACGCUGAUAUGUAGGUGAAGUCCCUCGCGGAUGGAGCUGAAAUCAGUCGAAGAUACCAGCUGGCUGCAACUGUUUAUUAAAAACACAGCACUGUGCAAACACGAAAGUGGACGUAUACGGUGUGACGCCUGCCCGGUGCCGGAAGGUUAAUUGAUGGGGUCAGCGCAAGCGAAGCUCUUGAUCGAAGCCCCGGUAAACGGCGGCCGUAACUAUAACGGUCCUAAGGUAGCGAAAUUCCUUGUCGGGUAAGUUCCGACCUGCACGAAUGGCGUAAUGAUGGCCAGGCUGUCUCCACCCGAGACUCAGUGAAAUUGAACUCGCUGUGAAGAUGCAGUGUACCCGCGGCAAGACGGAAAGACCCCGUGAACCUUUACUAUAGCUUGACACUGAACAUUGAGCCUUGAUGUGUAGGAUAGGUGGGAGGCUUGGAAGUGUGGACGCCAGUCUGCAUGGAGCCGACCUUGAAAUACCACCCUUUAAUGUUUGAUGUUCUAACGUGGACCCGUGAUCCGGGUUGCGGACAGUGUCUGGUGGGUAGUUUGACUGGGGCGGUCUCCUCCUAAAGAGUAACGGAGGAGCACGAAGGUUGGCUAAUCCUGGUCGGACAUCAGGAGGUUAGUGCAAUGGCAUAAGCCAGCUUGACUGCGAGCGUGACGGCGCGAGCAGGUGCGAAAGCAGGUCAUAGUGAUCCGGUGGUUCUGAAUGGAAGGGCCAUCGCUCAACGGAUAAAAGGUACUCCGGGGAUAACAGGCUGAUACCGCCCAAGAGUUCAUAUCGACGGCGGUGUUUGGCACCUCGAUGUCGGCUCAUCACAUCCUGGGGCUGAAGUAGGUCCCAAGGGUAUGGCUGUUCGCCAUUUAAAGUGGUACGCGAGCUGGGUUUAGAACGUCGUGAGACAGUUCGGUCCCUAUCUGCCGUGGGCGCUGGAGAACUGAGGGGGGCUGCUCCUAGUACGAGAGGACCGGAGUGGACGCAUCACUGGUGUUCGGGUUGUCAUGCCAAUGGCACUGCCCGGUAGCUAAAUGCGGAAGAGAUAAGUGCUGAAAGCAUCUAAGCACGAAACUUGCCCCGAGAUGAGUUCUCCCUGACUCCUUGAGAGUCCUGAAGGAACGUUGAAGACGACGACGUUGAUAGGCCGGGUGUGUAAGCGCAGCGAUGCGUUGAGCUAACCGGUACUAAUGAACCGUGAGGCUUAACCUUACAACGCCGAAGCUGUU